CCAGACACUUGUUUGAGUGAUACGUGCAAAGCCAUCGAGGAAUGUAGCAGAUCCGAGGGGACUGUCAUUUAAGAGGAUCCACGCUCAGAAGGCUGCUGUGUUUUUAAAUAACAGGUGCUUCUGCAAGAGCUGGUAUUAUCGUCCAGCAUGAUCGUCAUCUUCAGACCUGGGAAGACGCGAGCCGUCACGGACCAGGUGCCGGGCCUGCUGUCGCACAGUUCGCGAAAUUUCCGACGUUCAUGGCAAUACUUCCUUCGGACCUUUCCAGCCUUCUGUACACCUUCAUUUUGCUUCCGCCCUCCUGCAAGGCAUGCAAGGCAUGCGAUCCUGCCCUGGCUUCACUGCGGAGGGAAGGGGUUUGACCCAAAGCUGCUGGGAAGGAGGCACCCUGCCAGGGUGGCUCUCCCCUCACCCCACUGAUCCUGCUGACAUACACUUUGCCCUUGGUCACCUGAAGACACCUAGUAUGGUCAUGCUGGAGAAGUGGGACUGCUUUGGCCCUGGCUCCAAGGAUCAGAGAAAUCGCGAGAAAGUAUCAACACUGGCUACCCACGUGGAGAAAGGAGGUAAAGGAUAGAUACGCAUUCCCUCUGUUUCCCACCCACAAGUGUAGGGAAGGGAAGGCAGAGUUUGGGAACCAAGGCUGGGCAAUUUUAGGUGUCUCAAGUCCAGGCUGACCAGCUCCUUCUCCCUGGGCGGCUUCACUUAGAGGGUUGGGGAUGGACUUGAGAUCUGGAUGGAUGGGCCCAAUCUUUCCACACAAAAAGCUACAGCAGGCAUAGCUCCCACUUCAGCGCAGCCCACCGAGAGCCAAACAGCCAGCCCAGCCAGUCCAUGGGGGGUGCUGCGUGACACAUGGUGGGGCAGGAGGGGGUGCACAUCACAGGAUGGGAGGAUGUGAGGAGACAGGUAUAAUGGCACUCGUUUUAAUGGGAAAUCAGCUGUCCAGGUCUUCAGCUUCUAGAGCCACCAGCCAUGGCUCGUUUCCUCCUCUUUAGUCUCUGCCAUGUGGUUCUGCUUGCUGGACGUGCCUUGUCCUACUAGGUGACCUGUAUGUGGACAUGGAAACAUGUAAACAAAAUGGGCAUUAAGACAGUGGCCAACGCAUGUCAUUCCUUAGAAGCAGAUGUUUAUAAUCUGGGCUUCAUAAAGACUUCAAGGGGACAACGACCCUGACAUUUUAUGCAGAGUUACUGGGACUUGUUUACAUAUGCAUUUCUCUGCAAAGAUGGUCUAUAGCAUGUAUGCAGGUCUUUAAAAAAAUUACCAAAACUAACAAUAUUAAGGGAUCCCCGAUCAUCAAUAGGUGUAACCCACCAGCAAGGCUUAAAGGGAUCUUAAGAAACAGGUGGGAAUUCCAGAUGCCCACCCCCCACCCCACAGCCUUGUGUCCCAGCAGCUGAAGACACAAGGAGAUGUG
Molecule: long non-coding RNA, 1420 nt
Filed under: Canis lupus dingo (dingo)
Lineage: Eukaryota; Metazoa; Chordata; Mammalia; Carnivora; Canidae
Description: lncRNA (ENSCAFG00020002056.1)
Source: RNAcentral